Molecule: transfer RNA, 74 nt
Filed under: Hadesarchaea archaeon
Lineage: Archaea; Methanobacteriati; Hadarchaeota (SeqCode); Hadarchaeia (SeqCode)
Also listed under: 1 other name
Description: tRNA-Arg
Rfam family: tRNA
About the family: Transfer RNA (tRNA) molecules are approximately 80 nucleotides in length. Their secondary structure includes four short double-helical elements and three loops (D, anti-codon, and T loops).
Source: RNAcentral
GGGCCGGUGGUCCAGCCAGGAUAAGACACAGGCCUCCGGAGCCUGUAACACGGGUUCGAAUCCCGUCCGGCCCG